ACACCAAAAAUAGCCUUUAGCAAAACAAUAAUGCUACCUUUUAUUUGACCCUUUCAGUGUCGUGUCAACAGUAUACAGUAAAUAUUUCCAUCCCCGGAAUUCUACGAAAAGGAAUAUCCUUCACCCGGAAUAACAUUUUGACUACGAUAUUACGUGGUACCGGAAGUUGCGUAAGCUGAAAUUCCACUACCCGUAACCCGGAUGGGGGUGUAAUGCCGCGGGAGCGUAAAUACACGCAACACCCACCCGAUGCGACGGAAAAGACUGACACUGAAACAAGUUUUCACUUCGCGUUUUUCGAUCAUCAGAUUCUAAACGACGACGUAACGCGACACUAUCUUAAAAGCAGCACCCACUCGACAUGACCGAAGAAACGUGUUUGCUUUGCCGUUUUCAUUCAUCAGAUUCGAAACGAAGACGUAUCAUCGCAUCGAAACGUAGAAGAACUGUAACAACUGGAGCGGAACGAGUUAAAUGCAUCCAUUUGAGCAGGCUGGACACAAAGUUAAAAAGAUCCAGCAGACACUUGGAGUCGGAAAGACGCAAAUUUACGAAACUUUAAAAAACAAGGCAUCGAUUCAACUCCUGAUGACAAGCCACCAUCCAGCAAGGAAGCAAUACAAAUGGCAACAAAAAUCCUUCAGUAUGCACAAGAAUUACCAGACAUCAGUGAUCAACGGGACAGUUACUUGCAACUAGCAAAAAAAACUGUAUGACACGCAGGCAAACAUCGUCAUAAACCAAAGAAUGCAUCUAACAAAACAAUCCAAAAUACAUUUUUUUUCCCAAGACAGAAAAAAAUAAACAUUAAAAUACUGUAUGUAUUUUACUGUUGUGAUUUUUUUGGGAUACACCUGUAUUGCAGUUUUUGUUAUAUAAACAGUUUUUGGACAGUA
Long non-coding RNA from Hippocampus zosterae (dwarf seahorse), 896 nucleotides. RefSeq lists it as uncharacterized. The record is from RefSeq and is a predicted model, not a curated record. NCBI's taxonomy places the organism in Eukaryota, Metazoa, Chordata, Actinopteri, Syngnathiformes, Syngnathidae. The transcript is spliced from 3 exons.